Molecule: ribosomal RNA, 520 nt
Filed under: uncultured Glomus
Lineage: Eukaryota; Fungi; Glomeromycota; Glomeromycetes; Glomerales; Glomeraceae
Description: SSU rRNA
Rfam family: Eukaryotic small subunit ribosomal RNA
Source: RNAcentral
AGCAGCCGCGGUAAUUCCAGCUCCAAUAGCGUAUAUUAAAGUUGUUGCAGUUAAAAAGCUCGUAGUUGAAUUUCGGGGUUAGUAGGUCGGUCAUGCCACUGGUAUGUACUGGUCUCACUGAUUCCUCCUUCCUGAUGAACCGUAAUGCCAUUAAUUUGGUGUUGCGGGGAGACUGGACUGUUACUUUGAAAAAAUUGAGUGUUUAAAGCAGGCUAACGCUUGAAUACAUUAGCAUGGAAUAAUGAAAUAGGACGUUCGAUCCUAUUUUGUUGGUUUCUAGGAUUGACGUAAUGAUUAAUAGGGAUAGUUGGGGGCAGUUAGUAUUCAAUUGUCAGAGGUGAAAUUCUUGGAUUUAUUGAAGACUAACUACUGCGAAAAGCAUUUGCCAAGGAUGUUUUCAUUAAUCAAGAACGAAAGUUAGGGAUCGAAGACGAUCAGAUACCGUCGUAGUCUUAACCAUAAACUAUGACCGACUAGGGAUCGGAUGAUGUUAAUUUUUAUGUACUCUAUUCGGCGCCUU